RNAcentral lists this ribosomal RNA (508 nucleotides) under uncultured soil bacterium. Its description in RNAcentral is "bacterial SSU rRNA". It matches the Rfam family "Bacterial small subunit ribosomal RNA", at positions 26 to 529 of the family's 1533-position model. The record is from RNAcentral.
AGAGUGAACGCUGGCGGUAGGCCUAACACAUGCAAGUCGAACGGCAGCACGGUAAGAGCUUGCUCUUAUGGGUGGCGAGUGGCGGACGGGUGAGGAAUACAUCGGAAUCUACCUUUUGGUGGGGGAUAACGUAGGGAAACUUACGCUAAUACCGCAUACGCCCUUCGGGGGAAAGCCGGGGACCAGCAAUGGCCUGGUGCUGAUAGAUGAGCCGAUGUCGGAUUAGCUAGUUGUGAGGUAAUGGCUCACCAAGGCGACGAUCCGUAGCUGGUCUGAGAGGAUGAUCAGCCACACUGGAACUGAGACACGGUCCAGACUCCUACGGGAGGCAGCAGUGGGGAAUAUUGGACAAUGGGCGCAAAGCCUGAUCCAGCCAUACCGCUGGGUGAAGAAGGCCUUCGGUUGUAAAGCCCUUUGUUGGAAAGAAAGCAUUCGUAAUACCGGUGUUCGUGACGGUACCAAACGAAUAAAGACAACCGGCUAAACUUCGUCGUACCAGCAAGCCGAA